This 301-nucleotide ribosomal RNA is filed under the name uncultured bacterium. RNAcentral's name for it is "partial 16S ribosomal RNA". It matches the Rfam family "Bacterial small subunit ribosomal RNA", at positions 509 to 807 of the family's 1533-position model. The record is from RNAcentral.
CAGUAGCCACGGGAAUACGAAGGGGGCUAGCGUUGCUCGGAAUCACUGGGCGUAAAGGGUGCGUAGGCGGGUUUCUAAGUCAGGGGUGAAAUCCUGGAGCUCAACUCCAGAACUGCCCUUGAUACUAGAAGUCUUGAGUAUGGGAGAGGUGAGUGGAACUGCGAGUGUAGAGGUGAAAUUCGUAGAUAUUCGCAAGAACACCAGUGGCGAAGGCGGCUCACUGGCCCAUAACUGACGCUGAGGCACGAAAGCGUGGGGAGCAAACAGGAUUAGAUACCCCAGUAGUCCCUGUCUCUUAUAC